RNAcentral lists this ribosomal RNA (433 nucleotides) under uncultured bacterium. Its description in RNAcentral is "partial 16S ribosomal RNA". It matches the Rfam family "Bacterial small subunit ribosomal RNA", at positions 29 to 507 of the family's 1533-position model. The record is from RNAcentral.
AACGAACGCUGGCGGCAUGCCUAACACAUGCAAGUCGAACGAGACCUUCGGGUCUAGUGGCGAACGGGUGCGUAACGCGUGGGAACCUGCCCUUAGGUUCGGAAUAACUCCCCGAAAGGGGUGCUAAUACCGGAUAAUGUCUUCGGACCAAAGAUUUAUCGCCUUUGGAUGGGCCCGCGUUGGAUUAGCUAGUUGGUAGGGUAAAAGCCUACCAAGGCGACGAUCCAUAGCUGGUCUGAGAGGAUGAUCAGCCACACUGGGACUGAGACACGGCCCAGACUCCUACGGGAGGCAGCAGUGGGGAAUAUUGGACAAUGGGCGAAAGCCUGAUCCAGUAAUGCCGCGUGAGUGAUGAAGGCCUUAGGGUUGUAAAGCUCUUUUACCCGGGAUGAUAAUGACAGUACCGGGAGAAUAAGCUCCGGCUAACUCCGUG